This 151-nucleotide non-coding RNA is filed under the name bovine gut metagenome. The record is from RNAcentral.
UGGAACUUAGAAGUUCCUGAUGUUCUGAGAAUAUUCAGCAAUGUUUGAACACGAUGUUCAAACAAGCCGCCACUGAGCCAUGGAUGGCGAAUUGGCGGCGGUUGCGUACGAUAUCGAUACAUGUAACAGAACAUCUAGUACUUCUUAGUUU